UUGGAGCAUUGUUUGGUUCACUCGACUCCUUUUCUAGAGUUGUUACUAUUCUAUAUAAUAGUACAGUCUAAAGAUAUUGGCUGAAGAUCACUCUUCUGAAAACCUCACAAGUCAUUCCCUUAUCAGUGUUCACUUUUUUCACCUUUAAGUUCCCUUCUCUUCUCAUUCAACUUUCAUAAUUCACACAAAUAUGACAACAGUGUCAACUUCUUAAACCCCUUUAUGUACACACCUAACUAUUCAUACCAUUUGUUCACUAGCCCAAAUCCUCACUUUUCUAAAUAUCAACCUUUUGUAGCUGCUCUUUUUAGUCUUUUCUCUGUAAACAUGGUUUCCAUUCUCAGAUGCCGCAAACAUGGAAAUUCAAUGAUGUUCCUCAUCUUUUUGUCAGCUUCAAGCUUGACCCUCCUCAAUUUAAUGGCUCAAGGUAGAGUGAUACAUAACCACAUUGACUUGUCUCAGAUUAAUGGAGAGAAUGAGAGUACGGUGACAAGAAAAAUGAUAGGAUCAAGGCCACCAAGAUGUGAAAGGAAAUGUAGAAAUUGUGGGCAUUGCAAGGCAGUUCAGGUUCCCAUUGCACCCCUAAGAAGAAGCCAUAAGCUGUAUACUGCUUUUUCCAGAGGUGAUGAUUUAUCGGAUUACAAGCCCAUGUGUUGGAAAUGUCAAUGUGGGAAUUCUUUCUUCAACCCCUAGCUAAUGCUGCACGAUGGAUCAUCGUAAAUUAUUAAAGUGUGCCAUUUCAGGUCCAUUAUAAAUUCUGUCCGAGCAGCCUCUGUGUAAGGAGCGGGUUUAAGAUUUGUGCUUAGCUGUCUUUUUAUAAAUUCAGCUGUUUAUAUCUAAUGUUUCUGAUUCUGUCAAUCAGAAUUGUUAAUUUCCAUUGCCAUUUGAUAAAUUUUGAUUAUUAUUUUUCUCAAGAUUUUAUG
Long non-coding RNA from Daucus carota subsp. sativus, 923 nucleotides. RefSeq lists it as uncharacterized. The transcript is spliced from 3 exons. NCBI's taxonomy places the organism in Eukaryota, Viridiplantae, Streptophyta, Magnoliopsida, Apiales, Apiaceae. The record is from RefSeq and is a predicted model, not a curated record.